UGCCCACAACGGCUUCCUGGCGUGGGUCACCUGUAUUCCAAUGGAGCG
RNAcentral lists this non-coding RNA (48 nucleotides) under unclassified sequences. Its description in RNAcentral is "SAM-SAH-Weickhmann-2018 RNA". It matches the Rfam family "SAM/SAH riboswitch aptamer". The record is from RNAcentral.